UUUAAUAUGGCAGAUUUUAGUGCAUUGAAUUUAAAAUUCAAAUAAAAAAAUUUUUAAUUUUUUAUUAAAA
This 70-nucleotide transfer RNA is filed under the name Bombus pascuorum. RNAcentral describes it as "tRNA-Leu". The record is from RNAcentral. Lineage: Eukaryota; Metazoa; Arthropoda; Insecta; Hymenoptera; Apidae.